ACGGGAGGCAGCAGUGGGGGAUAUUGUACAAUGGGGGAAACCCUGAUGCAGCGACGCCGCGUGAGCGAAGAAGUAUUUCGGUAUGUAAAGCUCUAUCAGCAGGGAAGAAAAUGACGGUACCUGACUAAGAAGCUCCGGCUAAAUACGUGCCAGCAGCCGCGGUAAUACGUAUGGAGCAAGCGUUAUCCGGAUUUACUGGGUGUAAAGGGAGCGUAGACGGUUUGCCAAGUCUGAUGUGAAAGGUGGGGGCUCAACCCCCAAACUGCAUUGGAAACUGGUAGACUAGAGUGUCGGAGAGGUAAGUGGAAUUCCUAGUGUAGCGGUGAAAUGCGUAGGUAUUAGGAGGAACACCAGUGGCGAAGGCGGCUUACUGGACGAUAACUGACGUUGAGGCUCGAAAGCGUGGGGAGCAAACAGGAUUGGAUACCCUGGUA
This 434-nucleotide ribosomal RNA is filed under the name uncultured Lachnospiraceae bacterium. RNAcentral's name for it is "partial 16S ribosomal RNA". It matches the Rfam family "Bacterial small subunit ribosomal RNA", at positions 341 to 792 of the family's 1533-position model. Lineage: Bacteria; Bacillati; Bacillota; Clostridia; Lachnospirales; Lachnospiraceae. The record is from RNAcentral.